RNA transcript from Trifolium pratense (red clover), 2098 nucleotides. RefSeq lists it as uncharacterized. The record is from RefSeq and is a predicted model, not a curated record. The transcript is spliced from 3 exons. NCBI's taxonomy places the organism in Eukaryota, Viridiplantae, Streptophyta, Magnoliopsida, Fabales, Fabaceae.
CCCACCCACAAGUCCACAGUGACCAUAAGUGCAUCACUUUCUAUAAAUAAAUACCCAUUCUUCCUCAUUCCUUGCUCAUUUCAUUUUUCUUAGUUUUGUUUUGUUUAGGUGCAGAGAGAGAGAGAAAGAGUGUGAAAGGUUUUUUUUUCUUUCAUUAAUUUCUGUUUUUAUCUUUUGGUUUUUUCUCUUUCCUCAUUUUUAUAGGUAUUUUGUGGAGGAAGAAGACUUUGUAGCUUGACUUUGUGAAAGAUUAAAUCAUACAAUUCAGGGGGUCUUAAAGUUGGAGGGAAUUAGAUUGAAAUAUCUUAGAAGUUUCUCUCUUUCGACUGAAGAAAUGGAGGUAUAUGGAAAAUCUAUGGUUGCAGCUCCUUCAAAUGUUAUUUAUCUGUCAAGUAUUUUGGGCCAUGAUGGUCCAAGUCAUGUUCACAAAUGCGACUGGAAAUGCCAAAACGAACGUGUUUGCGGAAACAUGUUUCGCUGCAAGCUGACAGGUCUCACACACAUCUGUGAUAAAAACUGUAACCAGAGAAUUCUGUAUGAUAACCAUAGCUCCCUUUGCCUAGCAAGUCGUCAAAUUUUCCCCCUUACUCCAACAGAAGAACAAGCAGUGAGAGGCGUUCGAAGGAAGCUCGACGCAGCAGAGAGUUCACCCGUUGAUAAUAACAUCGGUUGUAAGCGUAGGAGGGAUGCACAAUUCCAUCCUUCUCCUUUCGAGAGAUCUUUCUCUGCUGUCAGUCCUAUCUGCAGCCAAGUUGGAGACGGCAUGGAUACGAACUAGAUAUUGAGAUUCAUAUAACUGAAGGAGACCUUUUUAUCAUUUUCUCGUUUUUUUUUUUUCCUUUCUUUUUUUCUAUCUGAUGAGUAUCCAUAACAGAACUUGAACAAUUAUGAAUCGCCGAUUGGUGGACCUUAUGUGUCCCCAUUCGCCGUAGGACGUCUUUAUGAUUCUAGUAAUAAUGUAAUGCAGUAUUUAAAGUAGCUUGACUGUUGAAUGGAGACUUGAGAUGGCUGUGUGUACACAGUUAUGAGACUUGAAUUAAAUUCGGUUUCUUUCUAACUUACUCAGAAGCUGAUUCUUAUAUAGCUUACCACAGGAUAUAUUCUAGCCUUCGUCUAUGAUGCUUGAAUUUAAUUUGGACCUGGUUGAUGUAUACAUAUUAGCGAUGUUUCUCAUGUAUAUGUAAUCAUUAAGCGUCCAUAUUCUAGUAUUAGAGUGGUGUACUCUUGUAUUCUUCCACUUUCUUUUUCUAUGGUUCUGUUAGAACAGGUUCUCUUCAGUUCUUCAUAUGCAAAUUUUUGGAAUCUUAUGGAGACCGAUACUAGUUCUCUGUUACAGGCUCAAGGGAGAUUAUACUAGUUCUGAUUUGAACUUGUCUUAAUCAAAUUUCUAUUAUUUUUUGAGGUUUGAAUUUGAUUGACAGUUGGUUGUGUGAGUUGAAUGUAAAUUGUGCAGGUUUUGAAGCAUAUAUGCUAGGAAGGAGUCUUCAAAAUAUUUGUGUUUCAAUACUGAAUGAUUUCUUAUGAUAUAGAUUUUCCCUGUUUUAUAACAUGAAAUACUGAUAAAUGUUUCAUUUUCUUGAUGCAGGUACAUGUACAUGCAUUGCAACUUUGGCUUGAGUUUUUGUCUUUGCUGAAGUUUGGAGAAAAUGAGGCUGUAAAGAGUUAAAAGGAUAUCUCUACCCUACAAGAUGUCAAAAGGAUUGAGAGCAGUUAUGACACUGUUAAGGGAUGAUAAAGUGGCGAGGUGAAAUUGAGCAAAUAAAGAUUUACCUCCAGAAAAAAAUAUCUGUCAUCAUUGCUGUCACCAAAAAUAUCUGCAUAAUGGCGUUCAAGGAUUGAAAGUAAACCUGUUUUGAAUUGAAGGAUUGAAAGUAAUAGGUUGUUCUUGGCUUCUGCUAAAUUGCAUAUUUUUGUUACAUUCUUAUAGCUUAUUUGUGAAGGUAGAGGAAUGUAAUAUACCCCAACUUUGAUGUAUUUAUCUCAUAUCUUAUUGGCUUGUAAGUAUCCAAUCCAAUCAAUGAAAUUUGGAACUGUUCAUUUUCAUGUAAUGCAAGCUGUCUUAAAGAUAUGGAUAUUCAGAUUUUGUUUUCUGUUUUAA